AUCAUUUUCAGAGUUUAAAUUGAAAUAUUUAAAUAAAGAUUUAUUUCAUUCAAACUAUAAAUUAAAGUAUGUGUUUUGUUAUUUUAUCAUUUAUGAAGUCUUACAGGUAAAGUAUUUAGUUAUCUUUUGGGUUUACCUGUAGAUUUGUAGUUAUUUAUAGAUCUGGUUAGAUAGUGGUCAUUCUGGAUUGGUCAGGUGAUUUUAGGAGGGAAUUCUAUUCUUGUUUUUCAUGCCCAAGCGUUCUGAUGGGUGUGUAUGUUCUGAGACAUUUUUAGAAGUUUUGGUUUGAUCAGUACUUGAUAUUCCUAGUUUGAAAUAAGUAUGGACUGAGAUUAUUCCAUUACCAGAACACGUACCAUAUUAUUGAGACAGCUGAGUUUUGUAUAUAUACUGUAGCAGACCUUUGCACCUCAUGGGAGGGUCAUAUCUAUAUGUCAUCUUUACCAUAAUGGGCAAUAGUCUACCAUCACAAUAAAACCCACGUAUUAUAAACCAGAUGGAAUGUGUUUGUCUUGUGUAUUUCCACCCGGUUUCAAUGGCGCCCAACGGAAUUGUGAUUACUUGGUGUGACAACGCCCAUUUUUCAUUUCCGGAAACAUCAGUUCCACAGUGAAAAUUCUACGACUUCCUUUUCUGUGUUUACUUCCGGUUGUGAUUUGGUACACGUGAAAAACCACAAGUUUUCCACUGGACAGCUGAUUGAGGUUUGAAAAUAAAACUUUUUGACUUGUUUCAUUCUACAGCAGUUAUAUUUCUUUACAAGUUGACAUGUUCCUGAUAUUCGCGGACAAUUAUUUCCGUUUGUGAAGCUGUAUGAAACAUUUAUUUGCAGUAGUGACAGUCCUAGGAAA
This is a long non-coding RNA of Saccostrea cuccullata (small rock oyster), 851 nucleotides long. RefSeq lists it as uncharacterized. The record is from RefSeq and is a predicted model, not a curated record. NCBI's taxonomy places the organism in Eukaryota, Metazoa, Mollusca, Bivalvia, Ostreida, Ostreidae. The transcript is spliced from 3 exons.